RNAcentral lists this long non-coding RNA (261 nucleotides) under Lathyrus oleraceus (garden pea). Its description in RNAcentral is "Pisum sativum (pea) long non-coding RNA (PSAT_LNC015011)". Lineage: Eukaryota; Viridiplantae; Streptophyta; Magnoliopsida; Fabales; Fabaceae. The record is from RNAcentral.
CGUUUAUCGACACCAACGGAGAAGGAGAAAACUCAGCCAAGACGUCAUAGGACGAAAGGGAGACUCAACGUUUAUCGACACCAACGGAGAAGGAGGAAACUCAGCCAGACGUCAUAGGACGAAAGGGAGACUCAACGUUUAUCGACACCAACGGAGAAGGAGGAAACUCAGCCAGACGUCAUAGGACGAAAGGGAGACUCAACGUUUAUCGACACCAACAGAGAAGGAGAAAACUCAGCCAACCGUCAUAGGACGAAAGGG